Molecule: long non-coding RNA, 7322 nt
Organism: Sapajus apella (tufted capuchin)
Lineage: Eukaryota; Metazoa; Chordata; Mammalia; Primates; Cebidae
Exons: 2
Source: RefSeq, a predicted model, not a curated record
UUGGUAUUCUGUAAGUCUUGUGAAAGCCUUAGUGCAUCGAAGUUGAGCCUCUGUCCAUCUCAUUACUUCAUCACCUGCCACCCCCACCUGUCUCUGUCACAUGGUCCACUCAACUGUUGUAGGUCCCCAGUGUCCUGUUUAGUGUGUCUUCCCCACAUUUCUUUUGGCAGCUAAGAGGGCUGCUGUUGUACAUCUUUCUGUUGAAAUUAAAUUUACUGCUCUUUGAUGCUGUUUCUCUCUAGCUGAGCAUCUUGUGAUAGCAGGGUCUAGGUCUCAGAUCAUUUCUGUAUUCUUAACCUGACACCUGAAACUUACGGUGACUGUUGAGUGAUGGUAUAAGAUUCAAGGUUAACAGUCUUUCUAUUGUUUCUCUUGUCAUGAAUUGAAAGUUCAGUGAAUUAAAGUAGGAUUUGUAUAGUCACUUCAUCGUAUAUAUAUCAAGUUCUGCCCUUAAAACUUCCGUUUUCUCCAGGACCAAUCGGUGUGGUAGUUUUAAAUUUCAUACUUUAAAAAUCGAGCUUUAGAGUGGGCAAAAAUGCCCCUGAAACAUUUACAACUUCUGCUGUGUUUUGAAUUGGAAUAACAACUUUGUGUCCCUACAGCCAGAGUAGGACUCAAUAAAAGAAAGCUGAAAGGUGCUGGAAGCCUCCUGCGCUUUGGGGGUAUGGAGUCAGGAACAACUGGCAGGAGUUGUGUAGUUGAUUCUGCAUGUUGGCAUUGCCAUAAGAUUGGUUAGAAAAAAGAUCUGUGAAAGCUUUCCUGAGGGUUUGUGCUCUUGCUUUCACACGUCCCAUAAUUGAAAUUAACUGCUGCUGACUGGCUAAUGACCAGUAUUGAAAUGGGAAAAUCUUACUUGCUUAUGCUUUUGCUUAUAAACAUUGAAGUUUAAUGAAAUUUAACCAUAGUUACGUAUGAUUUUAUGAAAUUAGGUAGGCUUUCUCAAGAAAAAUGUGAGCAAUGUAAGGCAGGGUAUUUUUGGGAGGGGGUGCUUAUUGUAAGGGCAAUAAACAGUGAUAAAUAGUAGUGUCUGACGAUACUGGUUGAAUGAGUGAACUCAUGGUAACAUAACUCCAGUGUGGCAGACUGAUUCUUUGGUGCUUUUAUUCAGAUGGCAAACUUUUAUAGAAAUCGGAGAGUUUGGUAAAGACUUUUAAAAAGUAGUCAGAAUUACCUAUUAUAUCCUUUUCUAGAUAAUCAAUUUGGAAAGAAUUGCUGGUACCUUAAGCCACAUGUAUAACUCCUACUAUGGUGUUGAAAAUGUUCCGUUUGACAAAUGCAUCAAUGAGCAGGCACGUGAGAACAGUGUACUCUUCUUACUUAGGAAAACAACAAUGAAGGUCUUCCAGACAGGAGAGAGUCUGCACUGCAUCACAGCUGAUCCAAAAGUUCAAUUCAGUGAAAAGUUCACUGGUGUUAAAUACAUUCAUAUUGACCUUCAACCCUCACCACCAGACGUCUCCAGAACUUUAAAAAAUGAAGUUUUGCAUCCAGACAUCCUCCCCAAGGUAUUUCACAAUUACCCAAAUUUCUGGUGAAAAAUUUUAUGUAAAAACAAUAUAUUUUUACAUACACAAGAGUAAACACUGAAUUUAACAGCAGUUGCCAAUGUUGCCGUAGGGGAGGACUUCCCUACAUGGGGCAAAAUUUGCUGAAAUUCUUGAAAUAAGUCUACGAGACUCUUACUAGACUCUGCCUUUUUCUGGUAACUCACCCUUUCUCAAACUUAAGGUCUUCUUUGUAGGCCUUUGAAGUCCCUUCAGAACAGGUAGAUUGUUGAGGACUGUUUGUUGCCAGUUUGGUACAUGUGGAUGAUUUCUAAAAGUCUCCUGAUGGGCAAGUCUCCAGGGCGUGACCUGUGCUCACAGCGCCACCUGUUUAUGGAUCCCUUCUGUCUAUUUCAAUACAGUCUGUCAUUGGACGUAAGAAUGUUGUUUCUGGCCAUGUGCUUCUCCGAAAUCUCUGUUGAAUUCAGAUGUGUCCCAGGUCUUCCAUUUAACUUUACAGGGAAUUACCCAGUGAUCGCUGUGCUCCUUGAACCCUUGCUGAAGAAAUUAAGUCAGCUUUUGUUCAUCCAUAAUUCUCAUUAUGCCUGUUUAGAAGGAAAACCACCUCUUUGCUGAAAUGGUAAUUUAAAGACAUGGAUUUGCCAAGUUGAAUUGUAUCUGUUCAGCGUAAAGAUUUUUCUUCCCACACCCUGUCUUGUCCCGUGGACUCACGCUUCUAUAUCGCACUAGCUCUAGGCUCUGCCUCCUUUGCAUAUUUUCACUUUUCUUCAAAAUUGUGCUUAUUUCUCAAUGCAAGAAGUUCAACUAGAAGCCUUGUUCAUCCACUUUCUUUCAUUUUCCUUUAUCUUAAAAUAUACUUCUUGUCCAAAGUGAGUCUUUAAAUAGAUUUUUUGUUGUUGUUGUUGUAUUUAAAAAACCACAUUAUUUUCCUAGAAAAAUUCAAGCAGUAAAGAGGAAGGGCAACUCAGGUAAAAAUCUAAGAGUCAGCACUCAACCACUAUUUGUUUUGAUUAUUAUUGUAGGUUAUUACCUUACUGACAUGUAGUAAUGGUGAACAUAAAUACAGUCCUGGUAGGUGUCAGGCGCUAAAAUGUUUCACACCCAAACACUUCGGCUCCUUGUCACAGCAGCCCUCUAAGGGUCGGCACCACUGUUGUCCAGCCAUCCAGUGACCUGGAUGAGCAAACCAGAGCUCACAGAGCCUUAGGAACCUGCCUAGCACCACACAGCCGGAGCCACGGGAGUGAGCGCCACCCCCGGCCAGCCUGUCUAGGCAAUCCCUCCUGGCUGGUAUGCCUAUUCAUCUUUCCUAUGACCUGCCUUUUGUUUUGUUUUAGAUUACAGGAUAUAUUACAAGUCUUGCAAUAUUUAUGUACAGACUCAGAAUUUAAGGCUGUCAGCUUGAAGGUGGAGAGUGUAGACUUGAAUUAGUCUGCGUGAGUUUGAAUCCCGCUCUUCCAGUUACUGCUCCCUCGACAGAAUUACUUAACCUCUGUGCCCCAGUUCCUCCUCUGGAAAAGGGGAAGACAGAAAUGAUAUCUCUCAUAGUGUUUUGCAGGAAUUAAAUGAGUUAACAGAGGUACAGAGCUUAAAACAGUGGUUGCCACAUAAACACUGGGCAAAUGUUAGUUACCCGGAUUAAAUGGUCAGCACCUGCAGUGGUCUCUGCUCAUUUUGGGCUUGUUCAUGACAGAUUGGUUUGUGAGAGUGUAUGUGCUUUUAGAAUAGUUCUAGAACUAGAAUCAUUUGUACACAUUUUACUGAUUAUUUCUUAAGCAUUGUUCAUGAGAAUGUUUUGUUGUUGGUUUGGUGGCUGGCAGUUCUCUUAUUAAGCUUUCCUUCUUGCUUUCUAUUUUGUGAUAUUUUUGGUGAGUCACACAGCAGAGACGUGUUCUGUGGAACAAGCCUAUCCUUGGAUUACAACAGACAGUGAAAUUUUAUUUCUAGUGUGAGCUCGAUUCUGUGACCUGUGUGCUUCUACUUCUAGUCUAUUCUUUUCAGUAGUGGUCACUGCAGAUUACUUGCCAUUGUAUAGGUAGGUCAGCUGCCCUGGGUGCCUUGCUUAAGCCUUCUCAGCCCUGAGUUGGUUGCCGUUGCAUCACAGAUGAAGAAGCAGAUAGAGUUAUGUCCCAGCCAGGGGUCUGCAGAGUGCUACGACACUCAUUCCCUCUGUAAGGAAAGCCCGAUUUAAGGGUGGCAGCCUUGCCUGUGACUGUCCCAUGAAAGAGAAUUUGACUGUGGAUUCUGUCAUAAGAUAAUUAGAUUAUUUUGAUGACUACUAGUUCUGCACACUUGCGUUUUAGGGACUCUUCCUUACUUAGGAGAUUCUGCCUUUAGAUACUGCGUUUACAGAGUGCUUUCUAACAUAGAUGUUUGGUGGAGAAGGGGCAUCUGUUUGUCAGCACCACCUCUUCUGGCUCUGCAUGCCGUUUUUCUCUCAACACCUCACCUGAUGGCAGGCAGACAGCUCUGAGUGGCUGCCACGUGGUUAGACUGUUGGGAUGACUUUUGUCAACACAAACACAGCUCAUACGGAUCUUAAGAACAAGUUUAUGCUUCCAGCAAAAGAAAAACUUUGAACUGUGACUUGAGUGUUACUGUUUCGUUACAUGUGUGUAAUGCAUAUGACUGUUACUGCUGGUUCUUGCCAUCGGUAUUCCCAUCCCUCCCUGUCCUCCCGACUACUGUGGUGAAGCUCCUGACAGUGUAGCAUGCAGGUGCUAGCCCGUGGGAGGUGAGUCUCUAGUUAGGGAGCUUGUUAGCAAUUGUAUUAGUCAGGGUUCUCUUGGAGGGACAGAACUAAUAGGAAUAUAUAUAUAAAGGGGAGUUUAUUAAGUUUUAACUUACGCAAUCACAAGGUCCCACAAUAGGCAGUCUGCAAGCUGAGAAGCAAGGAAAGCCAUCCUGAGUCCCAAAACUGAAGAAUUUGGAGUCCGAUGUUCAAGGGCAGGAAGCAUCCAGCACAGAGAAAGAUGUAGUCUGGGAGCCUAGGCCUGUCUCUCCUUUUCAUAUAUUUCUGCCUGCCCCAUAUUCCCUGGCAGCUGAUUAGAUUGUGCCCACCAGAUUCAGGGUAGAUCUCCCUUCCCCAAGCCACUGACUCAAAUGUUAACCUCUUGGCAGUUCCCACCCAGACACACCCAAGAUUAAUACUUUGUAUCCUUCAAUCAAGUUGACACUCAGUAUUAACCAUCACAUCAAUAAUCAAAAUAGUAUAGAAAGUGAGAUUAGUUCAUUAAUAGCAGUUACUUGCAGUUACUUAUUUGAUGCAGAGGAUCUAAAAAUAGAGAACAGUUAAAACAUAAAUGUCAAUGAAAAAUGUAAUGCUAUGAGCAAAAUAUUAGGGAAGCCUCUCUUUGUCCUUUCUCGUUAUGUGUAUUUAUGGUGUAUGCAGUGAUGCCUAGGUUACCAUUCUCUGGAGAAUGCUUACUGCAAACGGGGUUGUUAGCUGUGGGCAUAAGUUGUCUCAGGGCCAGGCUGGUGGCUGGGGAGGGGGUGGCCCCAGCAGGACUCCUUAUUGAAGGUUGGAGUGGCACCCGUUGCUAAGUGGCUUUUGUGGUCACCCAGAUAAUGGAGCUGGAGAUGCUGACCUUGGCCGUGUUUAAGCUCCACUUCCCUGCCUCAGAUGUUUUUUGAGGGACAAGAAGGCCAGUAAAUCAUGGUCUGCCUUUUCUCAAGAAGUAGGGGGAAGAGACUUGUAGGAAAGGAAAUGGAAACCCGAAUCCUGAGAUGUAGUUCAUGUCUAACGUGAUGUUUAAGGAUGUUUUCAUUAAUAGAGCUGUCAAAAUAUUUUCAUAUGUAGAAGAUAUCUUAACUUUAUGGGAUUGCUCCUUAGAGAGAGUAGAUUUUAAAAGCUGUGCUUCUUGAUGCCCUUGGAAGCUGUCACAUGAGUCUGGUUUGUUGCCAUUGUGGGGUACCAUAUCUGUCUCUUUACAUGUGCUUGGUACAGAGUGACUCCCUGCGUGUUGUUUGGCCUUAUGCAGUUUGACUUCUCUAUCUCAGCAAGCCUUUAAAGCACCUCGGUUAUGACGUACAUGGAUCUGGUUAAGUUGUAAAGACUCAUUACCAUCUCCUUAAAAUCCAGCAUUCAACACAAAGUGUACAUUCCCCAUUCAAUCACAUAAUCAUUUUUAUAAAUUCAUAGCUCUGGUCUUAAACAGGAAGUAAGGGGACCCUGCUUCCUCCCUGAGCCCCACUCACUAGAAACCAGAAGCAAAAAGAACGGCAGGACUCCUGGAUAUCUUGCUCUUGAGGGCGCUGUGCUGUUUUCUGUGUGUGUGCCAGGUUCUGUUGCUGUUUUAACAUCCUGCUUAAAUAAACAAAACACCCUAGGAUGAAAAGUAACAAGUCCCCUUCUUCCCUGUAAUCGCCCCUGAUCCCCUAGCAUAGUCUGUAGGUUUUAGCUUCAAAAGAAAUAUUUGAAAGAGAGAAAAAAGUGCUGCUGUUUCACUGGAGGUAUUUUUGUUCUUUUUUGAGAGGGUGGAUGAGUUAAUUCUGACCAUGGCUUAAGCCUAUAAAGUAGGCUUUAAGCCCAUGACCGAGCCAUCAGCUCUGCCUAGUGACAGCUUCACUCUACAACGCUUUCUUUUUUGGAGAGUAAUUUUUCACCUGAGCCAUAUAAACAUGAAACCCAUAGUAAAUAAUACAUCUUGUGAUAUUUAUGAAAAGAGUAUUCCUUGCAAGUAACUUCUGAAAGAUCUGUAAACAUGAUCUAAUAGACGGUGAUCUCAAAGCUCCCUGCCUUUGGGGGCUGUUAAGUUAACGUGAAUGCCCGCUAUAGUUAUUAGUGUGCUAGGUCUACAACGUUUUCAUAUGAAAUACUUCAGGACUGUUAAUUUGCUUAUGCCUAGUUUGUAAUUCCUAGACUGUUUCCUCAUUUAUAUCUUCAAAGAUAAACUCUUAUGGCAGUAAUUGUCCAGGUGGUCCACUUUGUUAAGAAUAUCUCUUCCCUUUCUCAAAGAAAUAAAAUGAGAACUAUCAUUUCACCUAGCAUCCCACUACUGGGUAUCUACCUAAAGAAAAAGAAAUCAUUCUGUCAAAAAGGCACCUGCUCAUGUAUGUUUAUUGCAGCAAUAGCAAAAUCAGGGACUCACUUAAGUGCCUAUCAACAGUGUAGUGGAUAAAGAAAAUGUGGUACAUAUACACCGUGGAAUACUGUACCCCCAUAAAAAAGAAUGAAAUCAUGUUCUUUCAGCAACAUGAUGCAGCUGAAGGCCAUUAUCCAAAGUGAAUUAAACUACAGGUAAAGCAGAAGAUGUUGAAAGCACAGAGGGAGAAAGAGAGAUUGCCUGAGGGCCUGCAAUGACACUGAGUGUGGGUUUCCACAGUAAUCAUGGAAGUAUGAAGAUGGAGCUGAGAACAUAACUGCCAACCUAGAAUACUUUACUAAUGUAAAAUAUGAUUCAGGAGACAAAAUCAGAAAAUCAAAAACAAAAAAUCAAAUACCACGUUUUCAUUUGUAAGUGGGAACUGAGCAGUGGAUAUGCAUGAAUGUAAAGACAGGAGCAAUAAACACUGGGGACUCAAUAAAGGAGGGAGGGACGGAGGGGAUCAGGUGUUGAAAAGCUACCUAUUGUAGUACUGAAACAGGGUACUAUGUUCACUGUUUGAGUAAUGGGUUCACUAGAAGCCCAAACCCCAGCUUUAUAUUGUAUACCAUUGUAACAAACUGGUACACGUAAUCCCUGAAUCUGAAAUAAUUAAAUUAUUUUUUAAAAGACUACCUCUUCCCCUUCUUUGCUUUGCCUUUCAUGGCAAAAACAGAUAAAGCUGGUCACAUGAUGUUCUUUUGGAAUUUUAAAAAAAAGGUCAUUUCACAGU